This 424-nucleotide ribosomal RNA is filed under the name uncultured bacterium. Its description in RNAcentral is "bacterial SSU rRNA". It matches the Rfam family "Bacterial small subunit ribosomal RNA", at positions 356 to 773 of the family's 1533-position model. The record is from RNAcentral.
AGGGAAUCUUCCGCAAUGGACGAAAGUCUGACGGAGCAACGCCGCGUGAGUGAUGAAGGUCUUCGGAUCGUAAAGCUCUGUUGCCAGGGAAGAACGUCCGUUAGAGUAACUGCUAACGGAGUGACGGUACCUGAGAAGAAAGCCCCGGCUAACUACGUGCCAGCAGCCGCGGUAAUACGUAGGGGGCGAGCGUUGUCCGGAAUUAUUGGGCGUAAAGCGCGCGCAGGCGGCUGUUUAAGUCUGGGGGUUAAUCCUGGGGCUCAACCCCGGGUCGCACUGGAAACUGGGCAGCUUGAGUGCAGAAGAGGAGAGUGGAAUUCCACGUGUAGCGGUGAAAUGCGUAGAGAUGUGGAGGAACACCAGUGGCGAAGGCGACUCUCUGGGCUGUAACUGACGCUGAGGCGCGAUAGCGUGGGGAGCAAAC